AGAUUAAUAUAUUAUUAGUAUGUAAAAUUGCAAGUUUUAACGAAUAUCUU
Molecule: transfer RNA, 50 nt
Filed under: Pseudocapillaria tomentosa
Lineage: Eukaryota; Metazoa; Nematoda; Enoplea; Trichinellida; Capillariidae
Description: tRNA-Cys
Source: RNAcentral